AGCUGCCAUAGGCAUAGCAUGCACUAGUGAGCUGAUGAUGGCAGAUGAAUGAAUGAGAGAAUUUGACGGUUUCGUGACAGCUACGGAGCUCAAAACUCAGGAACAAAAUACACAAUUUCGGCUGCAGAGAUUACACUAGAAUUCCAGCAUGGACAGCCCACCUCCCACGGUCCCCUGAGGAAGCUUCACACCCAGUCAGCCAACACCGUUUCAUGGUCAAGGCCGCGGCGGUGGAUUGAUCAGACUCUGGGACUGAGAGCCGUGCGAGAGAAGCGCUGCCGAGAUGCCCUCCAAGAAGAACAAGUACAACUUGGUGGAGGAUGCUUACGACACUCGCAUCCCACUGCACAGUGAGGAGGCAUUUCAACAUGGGAUUGGAUUCUCAGCCAAGUAUAUCGGCACGCUUGAUGUUCCACGCCCGAGCAGCAGAAUGGAGAUUGUCACCGCCAUGCGGAGAAUCCGGUAUGAAUUCAAAGCCAAGGCCAUCCGCAAGAAGAAAGUCGUCCUCACGAUCUCGGUGGAUGGCAUCAAAGUCACCCUCCGGAAGAAAAAGAAGAAAAAGAAAUCUUGGGAUUGGGAUGACGAGAAACUGCUGAUCAUGCAUCACCCUGUUUACAGGGUCUUCUAUGUCUCACACGACUCCCAGGACCUAAAAAUCUUCAGCUACAUUGCCCGCGACGGCCAGACGAAUAUCUUCAAGUGCAAUGUCUUCAAAUCACAUAAGAAGAGUCAAGCUAUGCGCAUUGUGCGCAGCAUUGGCCAAGCCUUCGAGGUGUGCCACAAGCUGAGCGUCCAGCACGCGUCCACAACAGGUGACGGACAGGCCGACGGAGAGAGCGACAAACAGGGUGAGGAACAGGCUACCGAACCCAGCCCCGCCCACAAUCGAGCGGUGGAUGGGGGCAACGAGGCCAAGCCCCGCCCACUCUCGUUAGAUGUCACUAAGGAAGCACCCAAGACGGAUGACCAGGGCGUCAAGAUGCCAGAACGGCCGGCCAGUGCUCAGCCUGAGAUGAUGAGCAAGCAUCCAUUCUUUGUGACGCACGCACAGCAGAGGUUCUCAGCCUUUGUCCCGCCGGUGGGCAUGGGCUACGACGAAGCCAGCAUGUCUCACAUGGCGUCGCUGUCGCUCUACCACCAGCGCCAACUCUUACAGCAGCAGCUGCAGCAGCAGGAAGCCCAGACGCAGGUCGCUCUGGCCCAGGUGCAGCUGCUGAAAGACCAGCUGUCGGCCGAGACCUCAGCCAGGAUGGAGUCGCAGGCACGAAUUCACCAACUCAUGGUCCACAACCGUGAGCUCCUGAUGCACCAACAAGAACUCGUCCUACACAUCCAGGAGCUGGAGAUGAAACUCAACGGUACCUCGCCCAGCCCCGGUAACCCAUUUGUCAACAUGCAGACACAAAAAUCCCAGCCCAGCGAGAUAACCACGCCCAGAUCAGGUGGGAUCCUCCUGCCGGAAUUCCCUUCCUUAGCGGACAGUCUGCCGUUUGAUCUGGUGGACCAGAACCCCGAGGAACCAGAGCCGGAGGACCUGUUUGACAACUACGAGGCCAUCAAAAAACAUCGGGAGGAGAUGAAACAGAUGAACAUAUCCCAGAGGCAACCUGGGGAUCGGAGUAGCGGCAGCACGUCAGACAGUAACAACGAUCUCUUCAGCCAAGGCCCGAUCCUCCCGGACGGCCACAACGUCGACGACUACGACGAUGACAACUUCAUGAAUGAGAGCCAAGAGGAGCUGGUCACAACCAGCUUGAAGAAGCUGAACAUUCUCUCAGACCCUCCGGAGGGGGACAGCUUCGGCCCGGCUGACCGGGACAUGUUUGACACGCCGACAAUCGAGCGGCCAAAAAAGAUGGGGAAGGAGCUAACAUCGACACCCAACGAUGGCAUCCGGGUGAUCGUGCCAGUACCCAUGCAGGACUCGACGGGGAACAGGCUGGAGCUUAACGUCUCUCCGGUAGCAGAGGCUCCAGGAGUUAAAUCCCCAAAACAACGUCGCCGGCAUCAUCACAGCAGCAAGCCACAUCAGCAGAAACAACAAGAACAGCAGCAGCAACAGUAUCCAAACUUGUUUGAGACAUCCAACAACAACAACAGCAGCGGAGUGACGGAUUCCUCGGGGACGUUAACCGAGCGGUCGCCUCUCAACCUCAACUUCAACCACAACUCCAGGGGCCAGAGUCUCUCUGAUUCCCGACUGACGGACGCCGGCAACCACUUCACCAAGCUCGCCCUGCAUUCCACAUCUCUCAACAUCCAAAGCCCUGGUGUGCUGUCUGACGGAAGCCUGAGCCCACACGGCAAUGAGCUGUCCAUUCCAGACACUAAACUCCACAUUAGUUUCUCUGACGAUGAAAACACAGAGAACUCAGAAGAUUCUGGCGUUCCCCGGCCGCCCAGGGCGCUGGAAUCCUUGAACUUUGAUGAGUUGGAAGUUUUGGAGACGUAGAAAAGCCCAGCAAUUGGCUCUACCAUUAUUCAUUGGAUUGUCAGAAACCACGUGGUGUAUUACACACUAUUGCUUCUGAAAACUGUGGCAGUAGUGUUUGUUAAUAAUAGGCCAACAGUUUCAGAUGGUACAAUGGCUAAUGGGUUAUAAGGGUCAAACUUGCAACAUCUGAAUCCUGGACCCAAUUUCACUAGUAGUUGUAGGAUUCUGAAUAACUUGUUUACAACCUGAUAACAUCAUUGGGGGAAGAUCCUGGAGAGUUGUUCAGAAUCCUGCAACUCCUCAUACCACUGACCAGAAUAAUGUGCACAUAUAUGGUCACCAGUUUGUGACUAAAGUUUGUAAUUAAAUUUAAAGUGUAGCACUGAAUCCUUGGUGUGUACCGAUGAGCACAUGCCAAUAUUCCCACCCAACUCAUGAUAUACAUUGAACCCUCACCGCUUUGUGCAGAAUCUUCUGCAACUAUUCUUUGCCCGGUUUACGGGAGUCAGAGCUAUGAAAUUGGGUCCUGUAAAUUGUAGGGCCGUUGUGGACUUUUUAAAGUUACUGUUGAAAAUGGCAUUAUAAACUACUCAGGCAUGCAUGUAACAACUCAAUUAAGAAUUCUACAGCUUAAAAAUUAUGACAUGAAAAGUAAAUACAAAAUCUAGGAGGAAGGUUGGGCAAGUACCAUGAGUCAACUGGUGGUUGAUUCUCAACGCAACUUACGUUUGCACACCAACAGCAAUGUGUGAACAACUCCUGUCAUACGCUGGUGAAAAUGUCAUCACGAAACUUUUGAAUCCUGGUUCCCUGCUGUGUAUUAUGAUACAUGCAGCCAUUGGCAACCAACGAUGCAACCAUGCACCGGGCUUCGGCUCCAACUAUUUGAGUAGUCCGACCAUUCUGUAUUGGAGUGAAGUUAGACAAACUGUGGUUAACCAAAGUCCUCACCCUAACUUGCUCUCGGAGUAAUUGCAGAAUACCCCGCCACUCGGAAAUACACCCCUAAAAUCUCUGGCUACGAGGUUGGAAUCACUGGAAAAAAUUCUAAGUCCAAACCAACCACCCUGUUGGCGGCUACGCGGAUACGGAGUGGGAGUGCAGUGGAGCAUGACGCAUAGUAUAUAAAGUAGUGCUGAGAAGGUUUACAGACAAGGGAACUAGACAAGCCAAUGUAAGAAGCUCCGAGCUGUCUGCACCUGCCUCUAUUAUAAGGUGAACCAUUUGAGUAAAUUGACACGGGCUGGCAAAGAAGGGUCCCUUGCCAUUGGAACAAAAGUUGUGCCCCACCGAUUUGUAUUAUGAAAAGUGGUCUGUAAGUCUGCUCCACAAAAUGCUUGGUUGGCGCUUGAAAAUUGCUAAGUAAUUGUACACUGUGUAUAUUAUGCUGUAUGUGGCAGGCAGCCAUCUUGAAUUGUGAAUGUUUCUUGUUCUGCAUGUUUGCAUGGAUAAGUCUUGUCUGCCUGUGGAUGACUGUUGAGCUGUGAUGGAUUUUGUCAUCAAUGGCUCUACUCUACAGAUCUUGGAUAUUUUUUUUUCCAUUUCCGUCUUCUCGAGGGGAAACCCUUGAUCUGGCUAGCUAGCUGCAUGUGUCAAGGUACAUGAACAAGUCAAUGACUUUUGACUGAGAAUAAGCAUACAUGUUAAAGGUCUAGCGGUAAAGAGAAGCAGUUUUCGAGAUGGUCAGUGUAAACAUGUUGUUUUAGACUUUGUUGAUACUGAGGUGAUUCUAGGCUAGAAUUUGAACUCUUUUUGAAAUUGCCUCCAAAACAUGUAAAUUACUGUGCAUGUAUGUAUAUAUUCUGUUAAAUUACUAGUAUUACGUGCUCUCGGUAGCUACGGUACAUGGACUCUCUGUAUGAAGAAUAGAUGGCACUUAAAUUUGCGACCGCUAUCAAGAGCCCAAUGGGAGCAGUGGGAGGGUGUGCAAAAGUAUGCGUGACAAAUUUUUUUCAACAUGUGCACAAUAGAGCUGUCUCGAAUAUACCGAAUAUUCAAAUAUUCUAUCGUCAACCGAAUGUUAGAAAAAAGUACGCACAUACACAUACACACAUCUCUGUAAACACCGGCAAAUCAUGGUUCCUGGACCCCCUAUUGUCCCUAAUCCUCAUUCCUUUUUUUGUACUUUUAACUUUUUAGCAACAGCUCUCAUUGGUUUUGUACAUGGACAAUCGGUCAUUCGUGGACGUAUUGUCUUAGGUCCACGAUUGCCGGUGUUUACAUUCUCGCACAUUCUUGUUUCGCAGUUGUGGGGACAAACACUCGUUGCUACGAGAUAUUUGUAGGGACCCAAAACGCUGUGGGGACAGCAGAAAGUCCCCAUUACUCGGUCCUAA
RNAcentral lists this unclassified non-coding RNA (4770 nucleotides) under Patiria miniata (bat star). RNAcentral describes it as "carboxyl-terminal PDZ ligand of neuronal nitric oxide synthase protein-like, transcript variant X1". The record is from RNAcentral. Lineage: Eukaryota; Metazoa; Echinodermata; Asteroidea; Valvatida; Asterinidae.